RNAcentral lists this small RNA (123 nucleotides) under Mytilus galloprovincialis (Mediterranean mussel). The record is from RNAcentral. Lineage: Eukaryota; Metazoa; Mollusca; Bivalvia; Mytilida; Mytilidae.
UAGCUUCGACGGCAUCAAUUGGGGAUUUGAUGGUCGCAAAUACCCGUUUACUGACUUUGCUAACGCGUCGCCAGUAAACUUAAUUUGCGACCAUCAAAUCCCCAAUUGAUGCCAUCGGAGCUU